Molecule: non-coding RNA, 30 nt
Filed under: Mus musculus (house mouse)
Lineage: Eukaryota; Metazoa; Chordata; Mammalia; Rodentia; Muridae
Source: RNAcentral
UCAAAGCUCACAGUGGAGAGUCCCCUUGAA